Molecule: transfer RNA, 87 nt
Filed under: Microgenomates group bacterium RBG_16_45_19
Lineage: Bacteria
Description: tRNA-Leu
Rfam family: tRNA
About the family: Transfer RNA (tRNA) molecules are approximately 80 nucleotides in length. Their secondary structure includes four short double-helical elements and three loops (D, anti-codon, and T loops). Further hydrogen bonds mediate the characteristic L-shaped molecular structure. tRNAs have two regions of fundamental functional importance: the anti-codon, which is responsible for specific mRNA codon recognition, and the 3' end, to which the tRNAs corresponding amino acid is attached (by aminoacyl-tRNA synthetases). tRNAs cope with the degeneracy of the genetic code in two manners: having more than one tRNA (with a specific anti-codon) for a particular amino acid; and 'wobble' base-pairing, i.e. permitting non-standard base-pairing at the 3rd anti-codon position.
Source: RNAcentral
GCCGAGGUGGUGAAACUGGCAGACACGCAGCCUUGAGGAGGCUGUGCCCUUUAACAAGGCGUGGAGGUUCAAGUCCUCUCCUCGGCA